This 381-nucleotide ribosomal RNA is filed under the name uncultured bacterium. Its description in RNAcentral is "bacterial SSU rRNA". It matches the Rfam family "Bacterial small subunit ribosomal RNA", at positions 29 to 410 of the family's 1533-position model. The record is from RNAcentral.
AUUGAACGCUGGCGGCGUGCCUAACACAUGCAAGUCGAGCGGUAACAGGUGUAGCAAUACAUGCUGACGAGCGGCGAACGGGUGAGUAAUGCUUCGGAAUCUACCCAAUGGUGGGGAAUAACCAGCCGAAAGGUUGGCUAAUACCGCAUACGUCCCACGGGAGAAAGCAGGGGAUCGCAAGACCUUGCGCCAAUGGAUGAGCCGAAGUCGGAUUAGCUAGUUGGAGGGUAACGGCCUACCAAGGCGACGAUCCGUAGCUGGUCUGAGAGGACGACCAGCCACACUGGGACUGAGACACGGCCCAGACUCCUACGGGAGGCAGCAGUGGGGAAUAUUGGACAAUGGGGGAAACCCUGAUCCAGCGACGCCGCGUGUGUGAAG